This is a long non-coding RNA of Argiope bruennichi, 1752 nucleotides long. RefSeq lists it as uncharacterized. The transcript has 4 exons. Lineage: Eukaryota; Metazoa; Arthropoda; Arachnida; Araneae; Araneidae. The record is from RefSeq and is a predicted model, not a curated record.
GGCAUGUAUAAGAGGGUUUCUGUAAAUUGCAUCUUGUAUACUUGUUGGUGCUGUCGCAGCUUGUUUAUUGAAAUUCUCAAUGAAAGUCUUGAAUCUGUAUCUCUAUAUGAUUUAAGAUGGAUUACCAAAUGGCUCUUCCAUUAAAAUUCUAAUUGGGUGUUAUCUGCACAGCGUAAUUAUGGAGAAACUGAAACAUCGUAUUCCUUGCAAUGUAUUAAUGCAUGAAGUAACUUUGAUUUUCAAGAUUGAAUACUUCCGGUUUAAAAUGCGAAGAAUCACCAACAAUUUCAAAUGGAUUGGAGAUUUCAUCCUUGGAGCUUCGAAAUGUUCCGUCCACAAAUGGGAGUGCAACGAAUUAAUGGUCUCCCUGUGCACUUCAUUCAGCAAAGUUCUCAAUACUGAUCGAAGUUUGUCUUGACGUGCGCCCUGGAAAUUCAUAAAUAUUCUGGAACUCAAAUAUUGUCAAUUGGAUGGUGAAAACUAAAUAUUGAAACAUCAUAUGCUUGGAUGAUUUUGGAAGUCAUGUUACAGGAUCGUAUUUAAAUCGACACAACAGAGGAGCCAUGAAUCAGUUGAUGAGCUAUAUAAAUUGGUCUUUAAUGGUCAGUUCUUUUCAAGCUUGUACACUUCCAAUUAAAAUUAAAUAUGUAAUGAAUAGUAAAUUCUCAUACUCCGAUGUGAAGGGAACUUCAAUUCACCUAGUCGAAAAGUUUUAAAUUCUCUUUAAAAAAUAAGCAUAAUUAUAGGCGUAUUUCAAAUUUUAGUCGUUUCAAAUGAAACGGACAUUCAUUAGGAAUUCCCGCUCUUUACAUUGGUUGGAAGUUAAUGAUAGCUUGUACCCAUGUCGCGUUCCUGUUACGGGUCAAAUCGGUAUCGGAAUAUAAAUUAUCAACGCGGAUCUCCUGCAAUCUUGCAGUAAAUUACUAAAGAUACAUUCUUUGAAUAUCUGUUGCUAUAUCUGAAAUCGAGAUAGCAAUAUCUACAGAAUUCUUCAUAUGGUUCUCUCUGCAUGCAUCAACAUUUUAUUUUUAGCUCAUUUGACUCGCACUCGUGGUUAUCGGUAUGGAACUGAAUUGAUUAAUGUAUUAACCAUUAAUAUUUCGGAGUUGUCUUGUUCCAUACGAAAUGCAGUCUUUCAAAUAGAUUUUACGAUUAGUAUACGAUUAAUCUCGAGUGAGUAAAAUGUUAAGUGCAUCUGAAGUAUUUUCGAACAUACCCACUAUAAAAAAAUUGUGGCUUUUAUCGGAAACAAUUCAAUUAUUUUUAACGAAUUUCCCAUUAUUUCCAGAUCUCGUUCUUUAUUCUGAAGUUAGAUUGACUAUAGGUUUUUACGAAUUCUGAUCCCUAAAAAUGCUCCUUCCUAAAACUUCAAAUUGGAAAGUGCUUUUCAAAAAUUGCUUACGAGAAUUUUAAUAUAGAACGUCUAAAAUCGGUAACAUGCUAAAUAUAAAGUCGCUGUACCUUAGCAACACGACUUUCAGAGUGAGGUCUCGUACUGUUAAUUAUGUGGCAUCUGUCGUUUAUCAGAAAUCGGAAAAUAUAUUCAUAAUUAAACGGUUGAAUAUAAGAUUAUAAUAAGACUAAAGUCUUAAAAUAUAUAGCAUAAUAGUUAGAAGCGUAGCAAUAAACGUUGGUUUUUCGGCAGAUAUCAACAUUAAUCCCUUCACCUCGACAGAUGACUCGCUUAUCUUAUUGUUUAAGGACGCUACUCGAGGACCCUCACACAUAGCUUUGCUUGGUAAAGAAAUUCUA